The sequence is a regulatory RNA element, 136 nucleotides long. It matches the Rfam family "PyrR binding site". Rfam says of the family: This family represents the PyrR binding site and terminator structure. This RNA structure is found upstream of a variety of genes involved in pyrimidine biosynthesis and transport. The record is from Rfam.
GUUACCUUUAAUUAAGUCCUGUGAGGCUGAAAGGUGGCGCAUGAGAGUAUAAGAGUAUACAUAUUUAAGUAUAUGUAUUUAAAAUAUGCUAUGUAUUCUAGCUUCUUGCCGUCAUCUGGCAAGAAGCUUUUUUGGU